RNAcentral lists this ribosomal RNA (220 nucleotides) under uncultured bacterium. RNAcentral's name for it is "partial 16S ribosomal RNA". It matches the Rfam family "Bacterial small subunit ribosomal RNA", at positions 524 to 743 of the family's 1533-position model. The record is from RNAcentral.
UACAGAGGGUGCAAGCGUUAAUCGGAAUUACUGGGCGUAAAGCGCACGUAGGCGGUUUUUUAAGUCAGAUGUGAAAGCCCCGGGCUCAACCUGGGAAUUGCAUUUGAAACUGGGAAACUAGAGUGUGUGAGAGGGGGGUAGAAUUCCAAGUGUAGCGGUGAAAUGCGUAGAGAUUUGGAGGAAUACCAGUGGCGAAGGCGGCCCCCUGGCACAACACUGA